AGAAAAAUGGCAGAAAAAUAAAAGACGGACAUCAAAGUAUUUUUCAAUACACCAAAACGCAUAGUAAGAACCCUAGUAGCCUAAUAUCUCAAAGACUAGUUGAUAAAAUGUUCAUAAGAAAGAAAUGAAAUUCUAAUGGAAAUGUUUCACAAUGAUGUCAUUAGGCAGAGCAGGCAACAGAUGGCACACAGACAGCAGAGUUCGGGACAGAUAUGCAGGGACAGACUGGCAGAGACAGGGAGUCUCAGGCUACCCUGCUGCCCCUGCUGCUGCCAUGGCAGAGCCCAAAUUAAUGGAUGGAGGACGGGUGGCUGAACAUUUGGGGGUGAGGUCGAAAAGGAUUGUCGGACAACUGCUGGGAAGUUGCAGGAAGGCUCUGACAGCAGAGGAGUGGAUUAUGCUCAAGAAGAAAAAGAAAAAAAACAAAAAGACAAGAUGAAGACAUCCCAUUUCCAAGACUCCCAGAGUCAGACAGAAAGGCUUUAUUAGUGGAUUUGAGAGGGUUGGAAGAGGUGGGUUUGGAUGAGGUGAAUGGGAAGGAGUUAUAUAGAUGGUGUGUCAAGGUUUUAAAUAAAGAUACAUUGAAGAAUAGAAAAGACACUCCUUGGAGGGUAAAACUGGGCCUUGAUGACAAGGUAAAGUCAGCAUGGAGAGCACUGUACAAGCCACCGUUACAAAAGGGUACUGGUGAUAUGCAAUGGAGGAUGUUGCAUGGCAUCACUGCAGUUAAUGCUUUUAUAUCUGUUAUUAACUCAGAUGUUGGAGAUGGAUGUCCUUUUUUUUAAUAUAAGAAACUAUUUUUCACUGCUUUAUGGAGUGUGAGAGGAUAAAACCUCUCUUUGAAAUACUAGAGUCUUUGUUUACAACUGUAGGGAAGAUUUUCAAUAACACCGUUUUUAUUUUGGGGUUUCAAUGUAGUAAGCAACAGAAAAUAAACUGUUAUUUUAUUUUGGGACAAGCUAAGAUGUCAAUUUGUCUGAGUAGGAAACAUAAAAUAGACAUGGCAUAUGGGCAGGAUGUAAUGUAAUGUUUUUAAAAGGAUUAGUCAAAGCCAGAGUAAAAGUGGAUUUUGAGUUCAUCUCGGCUGUAAAACAUCUCCCAUUGUUUGAGGAGAAGUGGGCUUAUGAAGGAGCGAUUUGUUUUGUGGAGGAGGGGAAACUAUUUAUUGUUGAUGAAACCAGUUGAAUGCAAAUGAUCUUUUAUUUUAAUUGAAUUAAUUUCUUUUUUUAUAUGUUUCUUUAAGAACAACACAGUUGUUGUGUAAUUUCUGAAAAGGCAGUGUGGCAAUACUUGUUACAGUUUUUCUCAAUUGUUUACACACAAAUACUGGUACUUGAGACACAAUGACCACAACAUGUAACUCAUGCACCAACCCCCUGAACCAAUUCUGCUAAACUACAAGCACAAUUCCUGCUUUACACUCAAAUUGCAGUUCUAAAACACACUUUUUUUCAAAACACUACACACAAUUCUUUGCAUUUGGCACAAUUUUCAUGCAGAAAAUCUCUUGUUUUCACAAUGAACACACUGCCAUUCAAAUAUGCACACUGACUCAUCACAUGGGCAAACACCCGUCACAUAGUUUUACAAUUAGCAAUCAGAGCUUUAGCAUAAAAUGGCAACAGGUGAGCUCUUCUGUUUUGGAGCAAUGGAUGCCAACAUUGGAAACAGAGGCAGAGCCAGAGGAGUGAGAGUAAGAGGAGGAGGACGGGGAGGAUGAGGACGAGGACGAGGAAGGCCAAGGACCGUAAUCUCUGAUGAGAUCCGAGCCACUUUGGUUGAUCAUGUGGUCAAACAUGGUCUAACAAUGAGGGAGGCUGGACAAAGAGUACAGCCAAAUUUGAGCAGGUACACUGUAGCAUCCAUCAUCCGGACAUUCCGAAAUGAGAAUAGGUAAGAAAUCUACUCUCACUAGAAAAUUGCAGUACUGCAUAUCAAUACAGUACUCAAUGAGUACAGUAGUACAGUAUUGCCUGUGGACUGUUCUGUAGGACUGUAAAAAAUAAAGUAUGUUUCAAGUAUUUGGGAAAUGUAUUCCUACUUUGUAUUUACAGUAUUUACUAUUUGUUUGGCAGAACUGAAAGAUUACCAACACAAGGUGGUCAGGAACGUGUUCUGUCUCCUGAACAGGAAACUGAAAUCAUGAACAUGGUCCUAGAAAAUAACGCCAUAACAUUAUGGCAAAUACAAAAGAAAAAUAAUAGAAAACAAUGAGAUAUAUUUCAAAAUAUUGAUAGGGUAAGCUUAUCAACACUGGACCGUGUCUUGCGCAGAAAUAAUCUCAGGACGAAGCAGGUCUACAGGGUGCCAUUUCAACGCAAUUCAGAAAGAGUCAAAGAAUUGCGAUAUAACUAUGUACAAGUGAGUCCUAUACAAUCCCACAAUUGAUGCAUACUCUCAACACUGUAUAAAUUAUACAUAUUUCAGUGUUGUAAUCAUAAUGAUUGUGUUUCACAAUAGUGACCACUCCAUGUCUAUUUCUGAUAUUGUCAUGUGUGUUUCAGAGAGUCCUUGAGUUAGAGGUGGCUGCAGUGGAGCACCAGUUCAUCUUCAUUGAUGAGGUUGGAUUCAACCUCACAAAAAAAAAAGACGAAAGAGGGGAAGGAAUAUCAUCGGCCAGCGUUUCCAUUGUUCAAGUCCCUGGCCAGCGCGGAGGGAACAUCACAAUGUGUGCAGCGAUUACCCACCACGGCGUCAUCCAUCACCAUGCUACCCUUGGCCCCUACAACACCGCCCAUCUGAUCACAUUCCUGGACACCCUACACAACACACUCAUUCCACCAGAUCAGGUAGAUGGCCCAGAGCAGCUCAGGUACGUUGUCAUUUGGGACAAGGUAAGUUUCCACAGGGCUGCUCUGGUUCGUAACUGGUUCACUGCCCAGCCACGCUCUUUAGUUGUUGAUCUCCCUCCAUAUUCUCCAUUCCUACAUCCUAUAGAGGAAUUGUUUUCUGCCUGGAGAUGGAAAGUGUAUGACCGAAAUCCACAAACGCUUAUACCUCUUCUCCAAGCUAUGAAAGACGCAUGUGGAGAUAUAGCAGCUGAUGCUUUUCAUGGCUGGAAUCGCCAUGCUAGGCCAUAUUUCCCCCCGCUACUUGGCCAGGGAAAACAUUGCUUGUGAUGUGGAUGAGGUGCUGUGGCCAGACCGCAACAGAACAGAGGAUGCAGAAUAGUUUUUUUUUCAUUUUUAUUUUUUUACUGUAACUGUAUACAUUAAAUUCUUCUGUUUUGUAUGUAGACCACUGUAUGUGCAACUUUGUGUUGGUUGGGAAUGGGAUGUACAUUGUUUUUGUGGGAAAAAUAAAGUAUAUUUGUUACCGUGUAUUUGUGUGUUCUGAGUAUAAAAACAAUAUUCUCAAAUAUUUUACAACACACUUAUGUAUGUACUGUCUGUAGUGAUGGCAACACUGAACCAAAAAAAGGCCUAAGUCACUAUGAUGAAGUGUUUUCCAUUCAUCAUAGUGUUUUACAUUGAGCACAUCAGUGGUUCUUAUAAAUGUCUAUUCAUAUGAUGGUUUGUGUGUGUCAUUUGAAAACAAAAUACAAUUUUGAUAAGAAAUAACAUUGUUUUGAAUGUAAAGUUUCAUUUUGCUGGAGAAUUGAGGGGUUUUACCCAUUGUGUGUGUGUUUUUUGAUUUUUGUGUAGAGUUCAGAGAAUAUGAUGCAUGCUUUCAGAAAAUGUGUGUAAACAAUCGAGAAAAACUAAUACUUUAGUUUAAAAUAAAGGUUUUAUAAAAACUGUACACUCUCUCUCCCUCUCUUUCUCAUUCUCUCGCUGUCCCUCUCUCUCUCUCUCUUUCUCUACUCUCUCCCUCUUUCUCCCUGUCUUUCUCUCUCUCCCUCUCUUUCUCUCUCUAAGAUAUGAUGCACUACCAGCUCAUCCAAUAAGAGUAUGAUUUUAACAGUACAUGUCUUUCCUUUUUUAUUAUUUGUUUAUUCCACCUUUAUUUAACCAGGUAGGAUAGUUGAGAACAAGUCCUUUAUUCAACCAGGUAGGAUAGUUGAGAACAAGUCCUUU
This 4016-nucleotide long non-coding RNA is filed under the name Salmo salar (Atlantic salmon). RNAcentral's name for it is "lncRNA (ENSSSAG00000107633.1)". Lineage: Eukaryota; Metazoa; Chordata; Actinopteri; Salmoniformes; Salmonidae. The record is from RNAcentral.